CCUACGGGUGGCAGCAGUGAGGAAUAUUGGUCAAUGGGCGCGAGCCUGAACCAGCCAAGUAGCGUGAAGGAUGACUGCCCUACGGGUUGUAAACUUCUUCUGUAAAGGAAUAAAGUGAGGCACGUGUUCCUCUUUGUAUGUACUUUAUCAAUAAGGAUCGGCUAACUCCGUGCCAGCAGCCGCGGUAAUACGGAGGAUCCGAGCGUUAUCCGGAUUUAUUGGGUUUAACGGGAGCGUAGAUGGGUUGUUAAGUCAGUUGUGAAAGUUUGCGGCUCAACCGUAAAAUUGCAAUUGAUACUGGCAGCCUUGAGUGCAGUAGAGGUAAGCGGAAUUCGUGGUGUAGCGGUGAAAUGCUUAGAUAUCAGGAGGAACACCGAUUGCGAAGGCAGCCUACUGAACUGCAACUGACGUUGAUGCUCGAAAGUGUGGGUAUCAAACAGGAUUAGAUACCCCAGUAGUC
Molecule: ribosomal RNA, 460 nt
Filed under: uncultured bacterium
Lineage: Bacteria
Description: partial 16S ribosomal RNA
Rfam family: Bacterial small subunit ribosomal RNA
Source: RNAcentral